GGUGCUGCAUGGCUGUCGUCAGCUCGUGUCGUGAGAUGUUGGGUUAAGUCCCGCAACGAGCGCAACCCUUGCUAUUAAUUGCCAUCAUUAAGUUGGGCACUUUAAUAGGACUGCUGGUGAUAAACCGGAGGAAGGUGGGGAUGACGUCAAGUCCUCAUGGCCCUUAUGGGUAGGGCUUCACACGUCAUACAAUGGCCGGUACAGAGGGAUGCCAACCCGCGAGGGGGAGCCAAUCUCAGAAAGCCGGUCGUAGUCCGGAUUGUUCUCUGCAACUCGAGAGCAUGAAGUCGGAAUCGCUAGUAAUCGCGGAUCAGCAUGUCGCGGUGAAUACGUUCCCGGGUCU
RNAcentral lists this ribosomal RNA (343 nucleotides) under uncultured bacterium. RNAcentral's name for it is "bacterial SSU rRNA". It matches the Rfam family "Bacterial small subunit ribosomal RNA", at positions 1037 to 1381 of the family's 1533-position model. The record is from RNAcentral.